CUCACCCGGGGCUCCUGUAGCUCAGGGGGCAGGCCUGAGCCCUGCGUCUGACCCACGACCGUCCAGCCCCCCGACGGGGCACCCGGUCCUGAGGGGAUCCGCACUGAUCCCCACCGAGGCAGGGGAUCUGACCAACUUGGAGCUCAGCUGGAUGUUACAGGCGUGCAAA
Mesocricetus auratus (golden hamster) is the source of this 169-nucleotide non-coding RNA. NCBI's taxonomy places the organism in Eukaryota, Metazoa, Chordata, Mammalia, Rodentia, Cricetidae. The record is from Rfam.